Molecule: ribosomal RNA, 208 nt
Filed under: uncultured bacterium
Lineage: Bacteria
Description: partial 16S ribosomal RNA
Rfam family: Bacterial small subunit ribosomal RNA
Source: RNAcentral
UCGGAUUGUAGUCUGCAACCCGACUACAUGAAGCUGGAAUCGCUAGUAAUCGCGGAUCAGAAUGCCGCGGUGAAUACGUUCCCGGGUCUUGUACACACCGCCCGUCACACCAUGGGAGUCGGAAAUGCCCGAAGUCUGUGACCCAACCGCGAGGAGGGAGCAGCCGAAGGCAGGUCGGAUGACUGGGGUGAAGUCGUAACAAGGUAUC